UACAGAGGUCCCAAGCGUUGUUCGGAUUCACUGGGCGUAAAGGGUGCGUAGGUGGUGAGGUAAGUCGGAUGUGAAAGCUCGGAGCUCAACUCCGAAAUGGCAUUGGAAACUACCUUGCUCGAGGGUUGGAGGGGGGACUGGAAUGCUUGGUGUAGCAGUGAAAUGCGUAGAUAUCAAGCGGAACACCAGUGGCGAAGGCGAGUCCCUGGACAACUCCUGACACUGAGGCACGAAAGCUAGGGGAGCGAACGGG
This 253-nucleotide ribosomal RNA is filed under the name uncultured bacterium. RNAcentral describes it as "partial 16S ribosomal RNA". It matches the Rfam family "Bacterial small subunit ribosomal RNA", at positions 524 to 776 of the family's 1533-position model. The record is from RNAcentral.